UAAAAUAAAAUAUUAACAUUAAAUAAAUACGAAAAUAAAAAUUAAAUAAGACAUUAAGAAAUAUGAAAAAUAUUUUUUGGUAUUUUUAUGAAUAAAGAAAAUAUUUUAAAAUAAUUAAAAUCAAAACAGAAAAAUAAAUGUGAAUAAAAAAAGAAAAUGAAAGUGGAAGGAUUAAUGGUGAUGGGCCUGGAAAUGGAGGUG
RNAcentral lists this long non-coding RNA (201 nucleotides) under Lathyrus oleraceus (garden pea). Its description in RNAcentral is "Pisum sativum (pea) long non-coding RNA (PSAT_LNC035970)". The record is from RNAcentral. Lineage: Eukaryota; Viridiplantae; Streptophyta; Magnoliopsida; Fabales; Fabaceae.